Molecule: ribosomal RNA, 251 nt
Filed under: uncultured bacterium
Lineage: Bacteria
Description: partial 16S ribosomal RNA
Rfam family: Bacterial small subunit ribosomal RNA
Source: RNAcentral
GAUCAUGGCUCAGGAUGAACGCUAGCUACAGGCUUAACACAUGCAAGUCGGAGGGGCAUCAGGAAAGAAAGCUUGCUUUUCUUUGCUGGCGACCGGCGCACGGGUGAGUAACACGUAUCCAACCUGCCCUUUACUCGGGGAUAGCCUUUCGAAAGAAAGAUUAAUACCCGAUGGCAUAAUGAUUCCGCAUGGUUUCAUUAUUAAAGGAUUCCGGUAAAGGAUGGGGAUGCGUUCCAUUAGGUUGUUGGUGG